RNAcentral lists this transfer RNA (89 nucleotides) under Clostridiales bacterium. RNAcentral's name for it is "tRNA-Leu". It matches the Rfam family "tRNA". Rfam says of the family: Transfer RNA (tRNA) molecules are approximately 80 nucleotides in length. Their secondary structure includes four short double-helical elements and three loops (D, anti-codon, and T loops). Lineage: Bacteria; Bacillati; Bacillota; Clostridia; Eubacteriales. The record is from RNAcentral.
GCGAGAGUGGCGGAAUUGGCAGACGCGCUAGAUUCAGGUUCUAGUGAACGUUUAAGUUCAUAGGGGUUCAAGUCCCCUCCCUCGCACCA